RNAcentral lists this ribosomal RNA (118 nucleotides) under Photobacterium indicum. RNAcentral's name for it is "partial 16S ribosomal RNA". It matches the Rfam family "Bacterial small subunit ribosomal RNA", at positions 1 to 109 of the family's 1533-position model. The record is from RNAcentral. Lineage: Bacteria; Pseudomonadati; Pseudomonadota; Gammaproteobacteria; Vibrionales; Vibrionaceae.
UUUAAUUGAAGAGUUUGAUCAUGGCUCAGAUUGAACGCUGGCGGCAGGCCUAACACAUGCAAGUCGAGCGGUAACAGGAAUUAGCUUGCUAAUUUGCUGACGAGCGGCGGACGGGUGA